GGGCAUACCCGUAGACCCUGCCUGAUUGUACUCAUAGCCAGGUAGGGGGGACAGUGUAUGCAAGAGUAAUUGGGAGUCCAUGCCAGCUCUAGCCAGCUUAGUCAGUGGCUGGAUAAAUUGCAGUACUCCAACAUUC
Manis pentadactyla (Chinese pangolin) is the source of this 136-nucleotide small nucleolar RNA. RefSeq annotates it as small nucleolar RNA SNORA58. The record is from RefSeq and is a predicted model, not a curated record. The transcript has a single exon. NCBI's taxonomy places the organism in Eukaryota, Metazoa, Chordata, Mammalia, Pholidota, Manidae.